Naegleria gruberi is the source of this 73-nucleotide transfer RNA. It matches the Rfam family "tRNA". Rfam says of the family: Transfer RNA (tRNA) molecules are approximately 80 nucleotides in length. Their secondary structure includes four short double-helical elements and three loops (D, anti-codon, and T loops). Further hydrogen bonds mediate the characteristic L-shaped molecular structure. tRNAs have two regions of fundamental functional importance: the anti-codon, which is responsible for specific mRNA codon recognition, and the 3' end, to which the tRNAs corresponding amino acid is attached (by aminoacyl-tRNA synthetases). tRNAs cope with the degeneracy of the genetic code in two manners: having more than one tRNA (with a specific anti-codon) for a particular amino acid; and 'wobble' base-pairing, i.e. permitting non-standard base-pairing at the 3rd anti-codon position. NCBI's taxonomy places the organism in Eukaryota, Heterolobosea, Eutetramitea, Acrasida, Naegleriidae. The record is from Rfam.
GCCCGUCUAGCUCAGUCGGUAGAGAGCAAGGCUCUUAACCUUGUGGUCGUGGGUUCGACCACGACGGUGGGCG